This 332-nucleotide unclassified non-coding RNA is filed under the name soil metagenome. Its description in RNAcentral is "partial contains 5.8S ribosomal RNA, internal transcribed spacer 2, and large subunit ribosomal RNA". The stretch from base 1 to 120 matches the Rfam family "5.8S ribosomal RNA", at positions 35 to 154 of the family's 154-position model. The record is from RNAcentral.
GAUGAAGAACGCAGCUAAAUGCGAUAAGUAGUGUGAAUUGCAGAAUUCAGUGAAUCAUCGAAUCUUUGAACGCACAUUGCGCCCUUUGGUAUUCCUUAGGGCAUGCCUGUUCGAGCGUCAUUUAAACCUUCAAGCUCAGCUUGGUGUUGGGUGACUGUCCGCUUCACCGCGGACUCGCCUCAAAAUUAUUGGCGGCCGGUACAUUGGCUUCGAGCGCAGCAGAAACGCGAACUCGGGCCCGUCGUAUUGGCUCCCAGAAGCUAUCUUCACAAUUUUGACCUCGGAUCAGGUAGGGAUACCCGCUGAACUUAAGCAUAUCAAUAAGCGGAGGA